UUAACUCACAGUUUGUAUGAAGUUGGAUCUUUUGCGUACGUUUGCCGCUAGGGGCGUUGUUCCAACUCCAUACAAAUUUGAAUUA
RNAcentral lists this microRNA precursor (85 nucleotides) under Bombyx mori (domestic silkworm). RNAcentral describes it as "mir-2807 microRNA precursor family". It matches the Rfam family "mir-2807 microRNA precursor family". The record is from Rfam by way of RNAcentral. Lineage: Eukaryota; Metazoa; Arthropoda; Insecta; Lepidoptera; Bombycidae.